AUUGAACGCUGGCGGCAGGCCUAACACAUGCAAGUCGAACGGUAACAGAAAGCAGCUUGCUGCUUUGCUGCCGAGUGGCGGACGGGUGAGUAAUGUCUGGGAAACUGCCUGAUGGAGGGGGAUAACUACUGGAAACGGUAGCUAAUACCGCAUAACGUCGCAAGACCAAAGAGGGGGACCUUCGGGCCUCUUGCCAUCGGAUGUGCCCAGAUGGGAUUAGCUAGUAGGUGGGGUAACGGCUCACCUAGGCGACGAUCCCUAGCUGGUCUGAGAGGAUGGCCAGCCACACUGGAACUGAGACACGGUCCAGACUCCUACGGGAGGCAGCAGUGGGGAAUAUUGCACAAUGGGCGCAAGCCUGAUGCAGCCAUGCCGCGUGUAUGAAGAAGGCCUUCGGGUUGUAAAGUACUUUCAGCGGGGAGGAAGGGAGUAAAGUUAAUACCUUUGCUCAUUGACGUUACCCGCAGAAGAAGCACCGGCUAACUCCGUG
This 490-nucleotide ribosomal RNA is filed under the name uncultured bacterium. Its description in RNAcentral is "partial 16S ribosomal RNA". It matches the Rfam family "Bacterial small subunit ribosomal RNA", at positions 30 to 507 of the family's 1533-position model. The record is from RNAcentral.